Molecule: ribosomal RNA, 254 nt
Filed under: uncultured bacterium
Lineage: Bacteria
Description: partial 16S ribosomal RNA
Rfam family: Bacterial small subunit ribosomal RNA
Source: RNAcentral
UACGUAGGGCGCAAGCGUUGUCCGGAAUUAUUGGGCGUAAAGAGCUCGUAGGCGGUCUGUCGCGUCUGCCGUGAAAACCCGAGGCUUAACCUCGUGGCUUGCGGUGGAUACGGGCAGACUAGAGGUAGGUAGGGGAGAAUGGAAUUCCUGGUGUAGCGGUGGAAUGCGCAGAUAUCAGGAGGAACACCGGUGGCGAAGGCGGAUCUCUGGGCCACAACUGACGCUGAGGAGCGAAAGCAUGGGGAGCGAACAGG